RNAcentral lists this long non-coding RNA (551 nucleotides) under Bos taurus (domestic cattle). RNAcentral's name for it is "long non-coding RNA NONBTAT022426". Lineage: Eukaryota; Metazoa; Chordata; Mammalia; Artiodactyla; Bovidae. The record is from RNAcentral.
CCAAUGUGUAUCUUUAAUAGGAAUCAUGUAUAUCUUACUUUCUCAAAAUUUCUAUCCAGUUAUUUAGAUAAUUUUGUUAUUUGAGGUGCUUACUUUUUUGGAUUCUUUUCUAAGAAGUAUUUUGCUAUCUGCCUUUUCUUUAAAUAAGAGCCAUACCACGUCAGGUAAAAUUAACCUUGGCCUGUUAACAGAAAUAUUAGACAAUGUUUGGUCUUUAGAUGUUUAAAUAUAUUUAUAUCUGUAACAUUCUUGAGAGGGAGGUCACCAUUGUGUGGAAUAUCAGCUCUGAUAAUACUUGGCUUGAACCUUGAGCAAUCCAACCAACCUUGGAUCUUCUUUGGCUCCAGAUCAUCUACAAAUGUUAAGGUUUUUUCCUAUGUCAAUAAAGAAUAUAUACACACAUAUAUGAGUUUGAUUUUGCUUUUAAAUUGAAUGUUGAGCUAACAUAAAAUAAGAUUUAUAAGGUAUGUGUAAGGUAUAAAGUAUCAUAGUACAAUGAAAUCUAUGUAGCCACUGCCCAGUUUAAGUAAAAUAAUAUACCUUUAAGAUCC